RNAcentral lists this ribosomal RNA (460 nucleotides) under uncultured bacterium. RNAcentral describes it as "partial 16S ribosomal RNA". It matches the Rfam family "Bacterial small subunit ribosomal RNA", at positions 338 to 795 of the family's 1533-position model. The record is from RNAcentral.
CCUACGGGCGGCAGCAGUGAGGAAUAUUGGUCAAUGGGCGCGAGCCUGAACCAGCCAAGUAGCGUGAAGGAAGACUGUCCUAUGGGUUGUAAACUUCUUUUGUCAAGGAACAAAGUACGGCACGUGUGCCUUUUUGAGUGUACUUUAUGAAUAAGCAUCGGCUAACUCCGUGUCAGCAGCCGCGGUAAUACGGAGGAUACGAGUGUUAUCCGGAUUUAAUGGGGUUAAAGGGAGCGGAGAGGGGAUGAUAAGUCCGGUGGGAAAGUUGGCGGGUCAACCGUAAAAGUGCAGUUGAUACUGGACGCCUUGAGUGCAUGAGAGGUAGGCGGAAUGCGUGGUGUAGCGGUGAAAUGCAUAGAUAUCACGAAGAACUCCGAUUGCGAAGGCAGCCUACCAGCGUGCCACUGACAUUGAUGCACGAAAGUGUGGGUAUCGAACAGGAUUAGAUACCCGUGUAGUC